UCAGCCCAUGCCAGAGUUAGCUUUGAUUAUGGGUUCCCAGGGGAAUCCUCUCCCUUGAUUCAGGACCACAGUUGAAAGAGGCACUUUGAAAUACCAUUGUUUGAGGAUUUUUCUAAAAAAAUAUUUUUAACUAUUCAACUCUACAAUGAGAUGGAGACCUUUGUCUUCCAACUUAAUUAGAGUUUCUUAUUAUAUUCACUGCAUUGUGUAGGAUCUGAGUUUUGUAUUUGUCACCCUCUAGAAUGCACAAUGCAGAAGUUCAGUGUUUCAGGAAUUUGGCAGAAACUGGCCCAGUGAAAGCAGGUCUUACAGCAUUCCCUUCUGCUCAAAGGGAGAACUGCCCAGUCUCCUUUCUAAGGCGAAUCAUGCCACCCGCACAUUGUCAAUCAUAUUGCUGCCCGUCACCUCUGAAUAAUUCUUUUUCUUUUUAUCAGUUAACGCAGCAUUUGUUAUCUAACACAAUUCCCAAAGGCUCGAAGGAUGUGAGACACAAAAUGAUCAGAAGGUAAACUAUUACCAAGAUGCAUCACCAUGUAUACACUAACGAUCUCUUGAGAGUUUUAGACAAUAAAUAGAAGAAACCACUAAACAAGUAGAAGCUUAGAGAGAGUGGAGAUAUUACUCAUUUCAAAGCAAUGAUUAAGAAGUGGAUGCUUUUUACUAGAAAAUGCUUUUUUGGAGCCUGACAACAAAUAAUUUUUGAAUAAAAAUGAGGUAAAUGUUUUCAAGACUUCAUAAAUUUAAAAACUCAUUUAAAAGUUUAUAAAAGUUUUUGUUGUGAAAUGCACAUACUAAUAUAUAUGCAUAUAGUUUAUUGAACAAUAAUAAAAUAUACCCUUCCACACAUUAUUAGACUAAGAGAUAAAAUAUUACCAGUAUUUUAGGAGCUCCAAGAGUGCACUUCAACACAAAUCUUUCUCUUAAACCCUGAAAUUUGUGUUAUUCUGUUGUUGUUACUAAUAAUUCUUACCUACUUGUGUCCAUGACUAUACAUUCCUUAGUUUUUCCUAUUUUUCAAAUUUAUAUAAAUGGACUUUGCUGAAGGAAGUCAUCUGUGAUUUCAGUCUUUCAGUCAAUUACGUGAUUAGGAUAUUCAUCCAGGUGGAUGUAUCUUACAGUAUUCCUUUUGAUUAGAAUGGAGUAUUACAUUGUGUGCAUAUAAUAAUUUUAUCUAUACCAGUGUUAGGAAACAUAUAGGUUGAUUCCUGUGCUUUGGUAUAAAGAAGAAUCCGCUGAGGAACAUUCCUGUAUUUGUGUCCUAGUGCUAUGGAAUACAAUGGCUGUUUUGUUUGUCACCGUUAGUAGUAAUACGAAUUUAUUUUCUAAAAGUGUUGUGCUGGUUUCAUACUGUCGCAGUUUGGAGUUCUCAAUACUUCACAUCAUCUACAACCCAACAUACUGUCUAAUUUUGUAAAUGUGAAUGGUGUGAAAUCACUUACUAUUGUGAUUUUAAUUUACCUUUCUUUGAUUAACCACGAGGUAUGUGGUAAUGUA
RNAcentral lists this long non-coding RNA (1494 nucleotides) under Equus caballus (horse). RNAcentral describes it as "lncRNA (ENSECAG00000039202.3)". The record is from RNAcentral. Lineage: Eukaryota; Metazoa; Chordata; Mammalia; Perissodactyla; Equidae.